This 408-nucleotide ribosomal RNA is filed under the name bacterium enrichment culture clone ALO1_GLFRUDD03GCQ5W. RNAcentral describes it as "bacterial SSU rRNA". It matches the Rfam family "Bacterial small subunit ribosomal RNA", at positions 9 to 416 of the family's 1533-position model. The record is from RNAcentral.
GAGUUUGAUCCUGGCUCAGAUUGAACGCUGGCGGCAUGCCUUACACAUGCAAGUCGAACGGCAGCACGGGAGCUUGCUCCUGGUGGGCGAGUGGCGAACGGGUGGGUAAUGCAUCGGAACGUAUCCUGGAGUGGGGGAUAACGUAGCGAAAGUUACGCUAAUACCGCAUAUUCUGUGAGCGGGAAAGCGGGGGACCUUCGGGCCUCGCGCUCUUGGAGCGGCCGAUGUCGGAUUAGCUAGUUGGUGAGGUAAAGGCUCACCAAGGCGACGAUCCGUAGCAGGUCUGAGAGGAUGAUCUGCCACACUGGAACUGAAACACGGUCCAGACUCCUACGGGAGGCAGCAGUGGGGAAUUUUGGACAAUGGGGGCAACCCUGAUCCAGCCAUGCCGCGUGAGUGAAGAAGGCC